AGUGAACGCUGGCGGUAGGCCUAACACAUGCAAGUCGAACGGUAACGCGGGGCAACCUGGCGACGAGUGGCGAACGGGUGAGUAAUGCAUCGGAACGUGCCCAGUAGUGGGGGAUAGCCCGGCGAAAGCCGGAUUAAUACCGCAUACGACCUACGGGUGAAAGCGGGGGACCGUAAGGCCUCGCGCUGUUGGAGCGGCCGAUGUCGGAUUAGGUUGUUGGUGGGGUAAAGGCCUACCAAGCCGACGAUCCGUAGCUGGUCUGAGAGGACGACCAGCCACACUGGGACUGAGACACGGCCCAGACUCCUACGGGAGGCAGCAGUGGGGAAUUUUGGACAAUGGGGGCAACGCUGAUCCAGCCAUGCCGCGUGCGGGAAGAAGGCCUUCGGGUUGUAAACCGCUUUUGUCGGGGAAGAAAUCUUCUGAGCUAAUACCUCGGGAGGAUGACGGUACCCGAAGAAUAAGCACCGGCUAACUACGUGCCAGCCGCCGCAGUAA
This 498-nucleotide ribosomal RNA is filed under the name uncultured bacterium. RNAcentral describes it as "partial 16S ribosomal RNA". It matches the Rfam family "Bacterial small subunit ribosomal RNA", at positions 30 to 523 of the family's 1533-position model. The record is from RNAcentral.